UAAAGACUCACAUUCCCACUGAGUUUCUGCUUCCCCACUCUUGGACUUUGUUUUCCCCCCUGGAUUACCCCACAUGGACUCUGGUCUUCUCCCUGAUUCUCACCAGCCUACUUCUGUCUCCAGCUUGCUUGUCCUGUCUCAUCUCCAUCUGCCCCUGGAUUCCCUAAGCCUGUUUUCCCCCUCUGUGUUCGUUUUUCCCCCGUCUUAGACACCAGGGGUUGGAGUCUUUCCCAGAAUGUACUGAGCAGAAGGUAGAGACACCCCACAAGGGUCACCACAGUUCACUGCAGGGGCAGUGCAGUUAAUAUGUGCAACUGCAGGUCCUCCUCAUCAUACUGUGGCAAAAACAGCGAUAGGAAUCACCAUGGCAACAGAGUUUCUACCUGAAAGUGAGGCUGUGGAGAAGCUGGAGGAAGAGGGAGAGAAUGAGAGAGGGCUGGGGCCUCUCAUAACACAGCAUGAUUUAUGAAGGUCUGGGAAGGAACAUUUACAACACGUUCUCUUCACACUCUGAAAGAAAAGGGUCCAAGGCAUUAAAGGCCAGGCAGGCAUUCAGCAAGUGCAUUCAUUCUCCCUCCUCAGUCCAUCUUCUGUCUGUCUCGCUUUAACUCUCUUGGAAAAAAUGCACAAAAAUGUUUUAUUGUAUCAGUUACCCUGCUGUUGAUGUCUGUGAAAACUGUACUGCAAACAAACUGGUAGACUGACAGAUUAGUCAUUGGUCUUAUUCAGUACAAAUGCAAUUUUUCCUUCAUAUCUAGUCUUUUAAAUGAUGAUGUGAAUAAAAGUCCUACAUAAUU
This is a long non-coding RNA of Amphiprion ocellaris (clown anemonefish), 797 nucleotides long. RefSeq lists it as uncharacterized. The transcript is spliced from 3 exons. The record is from RefSeq and is a predicted model, not a curated record. NCBI's taxonomy places the organism in Eukaryota, Metazoa, Chordata, Actinopteri, Pomacentridae.